This 510-nucleotide ribosomal RNA is filed under the name uncultured bacterium. RNAcentral describes it as "partial 16S ribosomal RNA". It matches the Rfam family "Bacterial small subunit ribosomal RNA", at positions 28 to 507 of the family's 1533-position model. The record is from RNAcentral.
GACGAACGCUGGCGGCGUGCUUAACACAUGCAAGUCGAACGAAGAGCGAUGGAAGCUUGCUUCUAUCAAUCUUAGUGGCGAACGGGUGAGUAACGCGUAAUCAACCUGCCCUUCAGAGGGGGACAACAGUUGGAAACGACUGCUAAUACCGCAUACGAUCUAACCUCGGCAUCGAGGAUAGAUGAAAGGUGGCCGCUACAUGUAAGCUAUCACUGAAGGAGGGGAGUGCGUCUGAUUAGCUCGUUGGAGGGGUAACGGCCCACCAAGGCGAUGAUCAGUAGCCGGGCGGAGAGGAUGAACGGCCACAGUGGGACUGAGACACGGCCCAGACCCCUACGGGAGGCAGCAGUGGGGAAUCUUCCGCAAUGGACGAAAGGCUGACGGAGCAACGCCGCGGGAGUGAGGACGGCCUUCGGGUUGUAAAGCUCUGUUAAUCGGGACGAAAGGCCUUCUUGCGAAUAGUGAGAAGGAUUGACGGUACCGGAAUAGAAAGCCACGGCUAACUACGUG